This 1681-nucleotide ribosomal RNA is filed under the name Gnathorhynchus inermis. Its description in RNAcentral is "eukaryotic LSU rRNA". It matches the Rfam family "Eukaryotic large subunit ribosomal RNA", at positions 27 to 1509 of the family's 3401-position model. The record is from RNAcentral. Lineage: Eukaryota; Metazoa; Platyhelminthes; Rhabdocoela; Gnathorhynchidae.
GCUGAACUUAAGCAUAUUAAUAGGCGGAGGAAAAGAAACUAACAAGGAUUCCCUUAGUAGCGGCGAGCGAACAGGGAUUAGCCCAAAACCGAAUCCUGGCCGUGCAAGCGGUUGGGAAAUGUGGUUUUUGGUUCAGUGCUUACGGCAUAGUGCAAGUGUUCAAAGUCCACGUGAUUGUGGCAUCAAUUCCAGAGAGGGUGUAAGACCCGUUUGAACACCACACUUUGUCCAGGCGUUGUUCCUAGAGUAGGGUUGCUUGGGAAUGCAGCCCGAAUCGGGUGGUAAACUCCAUCCAAGGCUAAAUACAACACGAGUCCGAUAGUAAACAAGUACCAUGAGGGAAAGUUGAAAAGAACUUUGAAGAGAGAGUUCAAUAGUACGUGAAGCCGGCAGAGUGUAAUUUGACGAGUCCCGAGGAUGGAUGCUGGAAGUUGGGCUUCGCUGUUAGACCCUGAUAGUUCGGGAUGGUUUUCCACUCGGCUGUUUGUGGUUGAGCAGUGUUGUUCUGUUUUCAGGAACCAACAUCAUGACUAGUAAAUAGAUCGGCCUACCGUUGCGGGAAAGGUAGCUUCGGAUUCUUCCUUAGCAUUAUAGUCCCGCGGUGUAGCGCCGUUCGAUUACUGGAUCGGUCAUUCUUGCUACGCAAGACAUUGUGUGGUGUCGAGGAGUUGUGGCAUAUCUUAAUAUAUGUCAUAGCUUUCUUAGCGCUGCGCGGUGAACCUGUGUGGCCGGUAUUUCGUGGUGCAACCAAGGCUCUUGUCAUCCCCGUCUUGAAACACGGACCAAGGAGUUUAGCAUGUGCGCAAGUCAAUGGAUGAUACGAAAUCCAAAGGCGCAGUGAAAGUAAAGAUCUGUUUUAUACAGGUUAAGGUAGGAUCCCGGCUUUAUUGUGUGGCAACAUACAUGGGCUGGGCGCACUACCAGCUCGUCCCAUGCUUUAUUAAGUGGGGCGAAGCAAGAGCGCACAUGCUGAGACCCGAAAGAUGGUGAACUAUGCUUGCGUAGGUUGAAGCCAGAGGAAACUCUGGUGGAGGACCGUAGCGAUUCUGACGUGCAAAUCGAUCGUCAAACGUGAGUAUAGGGGCGAAAGACUAAUCGAACCAUCUAGUAGCUGGUUCCCUCCGAAGUUUCCCUCAGGAUAGCUGGCACUCAGGAAACAAACAGUUUUAUCCGGUAAAGCGAAUGAUUAGCAGUAUUGGGGAUGAAAUAUCCUCAACUGAUUCUCAAACUUAAAAUGGGUGAGAAGCUCAACUCUCUUGAAUAGAGUUGUGCAUUGAAUGUGAGUGCCUAGUGGGCCAUUUUUGGUAAGCAGAACUGGCGCUGUGGGAUGAACCAAACGUCUGGUUAAGGAGCCAAACGUAACGCUCAUGAGAAACCACAAAAGGUGUUGGUUGAUUUUGACAGCAGGACGGUGGCCAUGGAAGUCGGAAUCCGCUAAGGAGUGUGUAACAACUCACCUGCCGAAUCAACCAGCCCUGAAAAUGGAUGGCGCUGGAGCGUUGGUCCUAUACCAGACCGUUACCGCGAACCCGUUGGAUUUAAGUGGUAACGAGUAGGAGGGCGCCGUGGCCAGCGUUGAAGCUCGGACGCGUGUCUGAGUGGAGCUGCCAUGGGAGCAGAUCUUGGUGGUAGUAGCAAAUAUUCAAGUGAGAACCUUGAAGACUGAAGUGGAGAAGGGUUC